UACGGAGGGUGCGAGCGUUGUUCGGAAUCACUGGGCGUAAAGGGCGUGUAGGCGGUCCGCUAAGUCUGAUGUGAAAGCCCGGGGCUCACCCCCGGAAGGGCAUUGGAAACUGGCGGACUCGAGUCCCGGAGAGGAAGGUGGAAUUCCUGGUGUAGCGGUGAAAUGCGUAGAUAUCAGGAGGAAUACCGGUGGCGAAGGCGGCCUUCUGGACGGUGACUGACGCUGAGACGCGAAAGCGUGGGGAGCAAACAGG
RNAcentral lists this ribosomal RNA (253 nucleotides) under uncultured bacterium. RNAcentral's name for it is "partial 16S ribosomal RNA". It matches the Rfam family "Bacterial small subunit ribosomal RNA", at positions 524 to 776 of the family's 1533-position model. RNAcentral also lists the same sequence under 2 other names. The record is from RNAcentral.